UGCGUAGGCGGAAAUUUAAGUCAGUGGUGAAAUCUCAUAGCUUAACUAUGAAACUGCCAUUGAUACUGCGGGUCUUGAGUAAGGUAGAAGUAGCUGGAAUAAGUAGUGUAGCGGUGAAAUGCAUAGAUAUUACUUAGAACACCAAUUGCGAAGGCAGGUUACUAUGUCUUAACUGACGCUGAUGGACGAAAGCGUGGGGAGCGAACAGGAUUAGAUACCCUGGUAGUCC
This 229-nucleotide ribosomal RNA is filed under the name uncultured bacterium. RNAcentral's name for it is "partial 16S ribosomal RNA". It matches the Rfam family "Bacterial small subunit ribosomal RNA", at positions 568 to 796 of the family's 1533-position model. The record is from RNAcentral.